AUACAAAAAAAAAUGCUCAGUAUCACUAAUUAUCAGGAAGUGUAAAUUCAAACCACAAUGAGAUACCAUCUUACGUUAGUCAGAAUGGCUAUUAUUAAAACAUCAAAAACAACAGAUGUUAGCAAGAAUGCGAAGAAAAGGGAAUAAUUAUGGGAUGCUGAUGGUAGGAAUGUAAAUUCACACAACCUUUAUGGGAAACAGCAUGAAGAUUUAUCAAAGACCUAAAAAGAGAAUGACCAGUUGACCCAGCAACCUCACUGCUGAAUAUCUACCCAAAUGAAAAGAAAUCAUUAUAUCAAAAAGACACCUGCAUUUGUAUGUUUAUCGCAGCACUAGUC
Molecule: long non-coding RNA, 338 nt
Filed under: Homo sapiens (human)
Lineage: Eukaryota; Metazoa; Chordata; Mammalia; Primates; Hominidae
Description: non-protein coding lnc-EDNRB-11:1
Source: RNAcentral